UUUGCAAAGAAUAACUAACAAAA
This 23-nucleotide small nuclear RNA is filed under the name Arabidopsis thaliana (thale cress). RNAcentral describes it as "snRNA_18219". Lineage: Eukaryota; Viridiplantae; Streptophyta; Magnoliopsida; Brassicales; Brassicaceae. The record is from RNAcentral.